GAGAAACGAAGAAAACGGAUUUGGAUCGGAAAAAAACGAAAGUAGUUGAAUAGUCGAUCGUGUCCGUUGAUAUCCGAGGUAAGUUUAUUAGCUAUUUAAUUUUAUUAAAUCAGUUUAUAUUACAUGUAUGAAUAUCAAAUGUAUUUAUGUUGAGUUAAAAUUAAAAGUAUAUAAAUCGAAUGAGAAGUAUGAAAAUUAUGUAUAUAUAUGUGUUAGGUUCGAAUGAGUAUGAAUAUACAAAUAUAUAUACAUCAAUGUCUUUGUAAAUAAUUUAGGUAUGGAACUAUAGGCAUGUGAUGUGUUCGAACAUAGGUAUGUAUAUAUGUCAAUAAAGUUUUAAUUUAGUUAAUGUUAAUUGUUUUAUAUGUUUACAUGAUGUUCGAAUAGAUAUAUAUAAAGAUAUAUAUAUAUGUAUCAAAUAUUUGUAUAAGUUGGAUUGAAUAAGCAUAUAUAUAUAUGAAUAAAUAAUUAUAUUGAGUAUAGGUAUGAAAUUAUAUUUAUAUAUAUGUGUGUUAAUUUCGAAAAUGUAUGUGUAUAAUGUAUAAAAGUACAAGUUCUUGUUUCGAAUAUAAGCAUAGAGUAAUAUAUAUUUGUUAGAUUCGAAUAUGUAUAUAUGUACAUGUAUAAGAUCUUGAAUUGAAAAGGUAUAUGAAAUUAUAUAGGUAUAUAUGGAAUUCAAAUGUUAAAAGUACAUAGUAUAUUAUAAGUUAAAUCUUAUGAUAUUACUAGUGGAAUCUAAAGUAUGAGGUUAUAUAUAUAUAAAUGUGUUUCGGUUGAAUUAUUGAAUUAUUUAAGUUAGAUUUGAUGAUUGGGAUUUAUAUAUAUCCAUGUGUUUUAAAGAUAUAAGUUAUGAAUAUUGAGCUGAAUUUUAUGUGAAUUUUAUAUACAAAUAUGAGAUACAACUUCUGUGAAUUGAGAUUCUUUUGUUAAAGCUCAGUAUCAAUCGGAUUUAUUGCCAGUAAAAUUAUUCAGACUAUACGUCUAGCAGGCUAAGUGCCGGUGAUCUGAAUCAAGUUAUAAACCUAGCAGGCUAAGUGCCGGUGAUCUGAAUCAGGCUAUAAGCCUAGCAAGCUAAGUGCCGGUGAAUCUGUUAAAUUAAGUGAUUAUAUGCAUUUGAUAUAUAUAUAUGAUUUUGGUUAUAUGUAAUGGAUAAGUAUAUGAACAUUUAUUUAUAUGUAUUUGAUGAGCAUAUAAAUGUUUGGAUCUAUGUGUUUAGUGAAUAGGCACAUAUAUUGGUUGUUAUGAAAAUUGUUGAAUAUACAUGUAUGCAUUCGGCACAUGUGGAUUAGAAGUAUAAAUGUGCAUUUGGUUCAUGUAGUUGAUAAGUAAAAAUAUAAGCUUUUGACUUAUGUAUUUGAAAGAUCAUAGAUAUGCAUUCGAUGAAAUGCAAAUGAUAAGUAUAUUAGAAAUUAGUAUAUGCAAUUAAUGAUUAUGUCUGUAACUUGAUUAUAAGCAUAUAAUGUUUAUACAUAUGUUCGUUUAUAUGUAUUUUAGAUAUGCUAUAAACUUACUAAGCUAUAAAAGCUUACUUUGAUUGUUUUUGUCCUUUUGUUUUAUAGUUAAAAACCAAGCUGCAGACUCGGGGAUCAUUAGCGAAUAUCAUCACUCUAUCUAUUAUCUCGGUAUUAAAACGUUUAAAUUUUAACUUAUGGCAUGUAUAGACUAAAUAAAAUUUUGGGAGUCGUACUUUAAUGUACUGUAUAUAUAUAAUUAAUAGCCAUAUGGAACUAGCUUAUUUUUCUUACGGUUUAACUGA
This 1756-nucleotide long non-coding RNA is filed under the name Gossypium barbadense (sea-island cotton). RNAcentral's name for it is "long non-coding RNA (GBAR_LNC019344)". The record is from RNAcentral. Lineage: Eukaryota; Viridiplantae; Streptophyta; Magnoliopsida; Malvales; Malvaceae.